UGGGCCGUCCUGAACACUACAUCAGUCUCU
This 30-nucleotide non-coding RNA is filed under the name Mus musculus (house mouse). Lineage: Eukaryota; Metazoa; Chordata; Mammalia; Rodentia; Muridae. The record is from RNAcentral.